This 422-nucleotide ribosomal RNA is filed under the name uncultured bacterium. RNAcentral's name for it is "bacterial SSU rRNA". It matches the Rfam family "Bacterial small subunit ribosomal RNA", at positions 362 to 776 of the family's 1533-position model. The record is from RNAcentral.
UAUUGGACAAUGGGCGAAAGCCUGAUCCAGCCAUGCCGCGUGUGUGAAGAAGGACUUCGGAUUGUAAAGCACUUUAAGUUGGGAGGAAGGGCAGUUACCUAAUACGUGAUUGUCUUGACGUUACCGACAGAAUAAGCACCGGCUAACUCUGUGCCAGCAGCCGCGGUAAUACAGAGGUUGCAAGCGUUAAUCGGAAUUACUGGGCGUAAAGCGCGCGUAGGUGGUUUGUUAAGUUGAAUGUGAGAUCCCCGGGCUCAACCUGGGAACUGCAUCCAAAACUGGCAAGCUAGAGUAUAGUAGAGGGUAGUGGAAUUUCCUGUGUAGCGGUGAAAUGCGUAGAUAUAGGAAGGAACACCAGUGGCGAAGGCGACUACCUGGACUGAUACUGACGCUGGGGUGCGAAAGCGUGGGGAGCAAACAGG